This 120-nucleotide ribosomal RNA is filed under the name Begonia formosana. Its description in RNAcentral is "5.8S ribosomal RNA". It matches the Rfam family "5.8S ribosomal RNA". From Rfam's summary of the family: 5.8S ribosomal RNA (5.8S rRNA) is a component of the large subunit of the eukaryotic ribosome. It is transcribed by RNA polymerase I as part of the 45S precursor that also contains 18S and 28S rRNA. Lineage: Eukaryota; Viridiplantae; Streptophyta; Magnoliopsida; Cucurbitales; Begoniaceae. The record is from RNAcentral.
CUUGAUAACAGAUAUCUUAGCUCUCGCAUCGAUGAAGAACGUAGUUAAAUGUGAUACUUAGUGGAAUCCAAGUUGCGCCCAAAGCCUUUUGGCCAAGGGCACGUCUACCUGGGCAUCACG